AACGAACGCUGGCGGCAUGCCUAACACAUGCAAGUCGAACGAGACCUUCGGGUCUAGUGGCGCACGGGUGCGUAACGCGUGGGAACCUGCCCUUAGGUUCGGAAUAACUCCCCGAAAGGGGUGCUAAUACAGGAUAAUGUCUUCGGACCAAAGAUUUAUCGCCUUUGGAUGGGCCCGCGUUGGAUUAGCUAGUUGGUAGGGUAAAAGCCUACCAAGGCGACGAUCCAUAGCUGGUCGGAGAGGAUGAUCAGCCACACUGGGACUGAGACACGGCCCAGACUCCUACGGGAGGCAGCAGUGGGGAAUAUUGGACAAGGGGCGAAAGCCUGAUCCAGCAAUGCCGCGUGAGUGAUGAAGGCCUUAGGGUUGUAAAGCUCUUUUACCCGGGAUGAUAAUGACAGUACCGGGAGAAUAAGCACCGGCUAACUCCGUG
RNAcentral lists this ribosomal RNA (433 nucleotides) under uncultured bacterium. Its description in RNAcentral is "partial 16S ribosomal RNA". It matches the Rfam family "Bacterial small subunit ribosomal RNA", at positions 29 to 507 of the family's 1533-position model. The record is from RNAcentral.